CAAUGAAAUUGAUCUCCCCGUGCAGAAGCGGGGAUAAUACCAUAAGACGAGAAGACCCUAUGGAGCUUUAGACGUCAGAGCAGCCCAUGUAAAGCACCCCUUAACAAAGGAAAAAACCAAAUGAAGCCUGCCCUAAUGUCUUUGGUUGGGGCGACCGCGGGGAAAUACAAAACCCCCAUGUGGAGUAGGAACACACAUUCCUAAACCCAAGAGCUCCCGCUCUAAUGAACAGAAAUUCUGACCAAUAAGAUCCGGCACACGCCGAUCAACGGACCGAGUUACCCUAGGGAUAACAGCGCAAUCCCCUUAAAGAGCCCUUAUCGACAAGGGGGUUUACGACCUCGAUGUUGGAUCAGGACAUCCUAAUGGUGCAGCCGCUAUUAAGGGUUCGUUUGUUCG
RNAcentral lists this ribosomal RNA (399 nucleotides) under Pagrus major (red seabream). Its description in RNAcentral is "partial 16S ribosomal RNA". It matches the Rfam family "Bacterial large subunit ribosomal RNA", at positions 2034 to 2583 of the family's 2925-position model. The record is from RNAcentral. Lineage: Eukaryota; Metazoa; Chordata; Actinopteri; Spariformes; Sparidae.